Molecule: long non-coding RNA, 795 nt
Organism: Magnolia sinica
Lineage: Eukaryota; Viridiplantae; Streptophyta; Magnoliopsida; Magnoliales; Magnoliaceae
Exons: 3
Source: RefSeq, a predicted model, not a curated record
UUUUCUAAAAUUUUGUUUGUCUUUUGCUUUUUGAACAUGCAUAGAAUCCUCUAAAGAAUUGGGAAAAUACAGACCAAUCUUAGACUUCUUAGUGACAUUCUAUCUGGUUGUAAACAGGGGCACCUUCUGUGAUUUGAGGCUUCAUCUCAUCAUCAAUAAUGCCAGGUUUGCUCUUUUAAGUCACUAGAUAAAACUCAAGAUUUCUGCACCCAUAUUCACUCUACAACCAUCAUUACUGUCUGACUGCUGCACCCUUUGUGUAUUCCAGAUCAUAUAAAUGAUGGGCCACAUUCAAAUAUUGCAUCAAUUGCAAACGUAGAUAUAACAUUUACACACCAAUUCAUGCAUUAAUUUUGAAUUCUUUCCUCUCUAGCUUUUCUUAAUAUACUGAUGAAGGCAUUGCCUUCUUUUAUUGUGAUUGGUUCAUAUUUAAAGAUCCUUCUGGUGUUGUUGUUACAACCCAGGCUGAAAAUGUAAAGAUUCUUCUUUUGUGGGUCACAGAUAUCUGAUGUGGUUGAUGAGGAAGUCUGCAAGCUGGAUGAAAAGUUCAAGGAAGGGAGUCAUGUUCGAGUUCGUGUUCUUGGCUUUAGGCAUCUAUAAGUAUUGACAAUGGAUGUUUUAAAGGUGACACUAGCACACUUCCUCUUCUCUGCCAUUAUUAUAUUAUGUCAAGCUCACCAAAGAUCGAUAGAAGAAACUAGUCCCUUGGAAACAAUGGCAAUCAUUGACAACAAGGAGAUCAUUGACAUUAACCAAGGUAUGCUAGUUGAUUAGACUGGUGCUAAAAAAAAAAAA